AGGAGGCUCCACGUGGGUGGAGCAGGGUGAGGGGAGAACAGAGUUUAAUUAGCUGGUCAGAGCAGUCUAGUAGCCUGACGGUCAUGGAAAAACAGGUUUCAUAACCAGACUGCCCACAGUUUUAAAAGUUAUCUAUUCCUUUUAUUGAGAUAUCGUUGACAUCUAACAACGUGCAGACUGUGUGUGGCUUUGUCUUCAUGAGUCAGAAUGGCUUCUAAAGCUCCAGAUAUUACCUCUGCAUAAAGUGGUCAAAUGUAGGAAGCUGUCUCUUGCCACAGAGGAUCCAUAGUUCUUUCAGUAACUCCCCAAUAUAAUCAACUGGCCUAUAGUCAUUUGUAAGCACCCAAGUCCCACACAAGUAACUGGAAUGAUUUAAAAGAAUACCACGAGAAGAAUUUUUUAGAAGAAUUUAUGAGUUUGAGAUGACUGAUAUCCCAAAGAAAUAAUCUCCAGGCAACCAAGAUA
Neofelis nebulosa (Clouded leopard) is the source of this 465-nucleotide long non-coding RNA. RefSeq lists it as uncharacterized. The transcript is spliced from 3 exons. NCBI's taxonomy places the organism in Eukaryota, Metazoa, Chordata, Mammalia, Carnivora, Felidae. The record is from RefSeq and is a predicted model, not a curated record.